RNAcentral lists this ribosomal RNA (17 nucleotides) under Paraphaeosphaeria rosae. RNAcentral describes it as "partial 28S ribosomal RNA". The record is from RNAcentral. Lineage: Eukaryota; Fungi; Ascomycota; Dothideomycetes; Pleosporales; Didymosphaeriaceae.
UUGACCUCGAUCAGUAC